RNAcentral lists this ribosomal RNA (406 nucleotides) under uncultured bacterium. Its description in RNAcentral is "partial 16S ribosomal RNA". It matches the Rfam family "Bacterial small subunit ribosomal RNA", at positions 29 to 526 of the family's 1533-position model. The record is from RNAcentral.
ACGAACGCUGGCGGCUGCUUAACACAUGCAAGUCGAACGGAGUGGCGAACGGGUGAGUAACGCGUGAGCAACCUGCCUAUGACAGCGGGAUAGCCUAGGGAAACCGGGAUUACUACCGCAUAGUCAUAGAUGGGCUCGCGUCUGAUUAGCUAGUUGGUGAGAUAACAGCCCACCCAGGCGACGAUAAGUAGCCGGUCUGAGAGGAUGAACGGCGACAUUGGAACUGAGACACGGUCCAAACUCCUACGGGAGGCAGCAGUGGCGAAUACUGCCCAAUGGGGGAAACCCUGAUGCAGCGACGCCGCGAGAACGAAGAAGGUAUGCGUAUCGUAAAGUUCUGUCCUAGGGGAAGCAGUACCAUAGAAGAAAGCUCCGGCUAAAUACGUGCCAGCAGCCGCGGUAAUAC